Molecule: ribosomal RNA, 106 nt
Filed under: Pseudomonadota bacterium
Lineage: Bacteria; Pseudomonadati; Pseudomonadota
Source: RNAcentral
AAGCGAAGAGGCCACACCCGAACCCAUCCCGAACUCGGAAGUUAAGCUCUUUUGCGUCGAUGGUACUGCUCGGGUGACUGAGUGGGAGAGUAGAACGUUGCCGGCU